Long non-coding RNA from Sinocyclocheilus anshuiensis, 527 nucleotides. RefSeq lists it as uncharacterized. The transcript is spliced from 3 exons. The record is from RefSeq and is a predicted model, not a curated record. Lineage: Eukaryota; Metazoa; Chordata; Actinopteri; Cypriniformes; Cyprinidae.
GAUGCAUUUCUAAAACAUAAAAAAAAUCAUAAUUAUUACAAACAUUUGCUGGUAGUUUAUUGUUAGUUACAUUAAUAUAUACUGUUCUCUCUCUUCUGUUCAUACAGGGAUACAGGAAACAGGAAAUGGUUUACAUGAAAACGAAAGUUCAAAAGGAAAAUUGCUGAACCAUUUGAAACAGAAGAACAAGUCCUGACAACCUGCGAAUGACUACAGUUUCUACACUACUCAGAUAUUUCACUACAUCUACUGAAGGAGUUAUCAUGAUUGAAAUUUAGCAGUUUGAGCCACAGUCAUUGAAACAAAAGUCAAACAGCAUCAAAUGAUUUUGCCAUCUUCUAUUAAUCAAUUACUAAUGAAAUACUGUGUGUGUCAAGCCUAAAAACAAAAGUAAUAUUGAAUGUAACAACAAUAAUUACAUGAGCCAGCAUAUUACCACUGCAUUAUCACUUUCUAUAAGACACAUGUUUACAGAAACAGUAUUUUAUUGCUUUUGCACAAUAAAAUAUUUUUGUAAGGAUUACUUA